GGGGAAUAUUGCGCAAUGGGGGAAACCCUGACGCAGCAAUACCGCGUGAGUGAAGAAGGUUUUCGGAUCGUAAAGCUCUGUUAUUGGGGAAGAAAAAAAGACGGUACCCAAGAAGAAAGUCCCGGCUAACUACGUGCCAGCAGCCGCGGUAAUACGUAGGUGGCGAGCGUUGUCCGGAAUUACUGGGCGUAAAGGGUGUGCAGGCGGAUAUUUAAGUGAGAUGUGAAAGACCCGGGCUUAACCCGGGCAGUGCAUUUCAAACUGGAUAUCUAGAGUGCAGGAGAGGAGAACGGAAUUCCUAGUGUAGCGGUGAAAUGCGUAGAGAUUAGGAAGAACACCAGUGGCGAAGGCGGUUCUCUGGACUGUAACUGACGCUGAGGCACGAAAGCGUGGGUAGCAAACA
RNAcentral lists this ribosomal RNA (403 nucleotides) under uncultured Eubacteriales bacterium. RNAcentral's name for it is "bacterial SSU rRNA". It matches the Rfam family "Bacterial small subunit ribosomal RNA", at positions 356 to 774 of the family's 1533-position model. Lineage: Bacteria; Bacillati; Bacillota; Clostridia; Eubacteriales. The record is from RNAcentral.